GAGGAGCUUGCUUCUCUGAUCAGUGGCGAACGGGUGAGUAACACGUGAGCAAUCUGCCCUUGACUCUGGGAUAACUGCGGGAAACUGUAGCUAAUACCGGAUACGACCUGAAGAGGCAUCUUUUUGGGUGGAAAGAAUUUUGGUCAAGGAUGAGCUCGCGGCCUAUCAGCUUGUUGGUGAGGUAAUGGCUCACCAAGGCGACGACGGGUAGCCGGCCUGAGAGGGUGACCGGCCACACUGGGACUGAGACACGGCCCAGACUCCUACGGGAGGCAGCAGUGGGGAAUAUUGCACAAUGGGGCGCAAGCCUGAUGCAGCAACGCCGCGUGAGGGACGAAGGCCUUCGGGUUGUAAACCUCUUUUAGUAGGGAAAAGCGACUGGGUUUUUCCUGGGGAGUGACGGUACCUGCAAAAAAAGCACCGGCUAACUACGUGGCCAGCAGCCGCGGUAAUACGUAGGGUGCAAGCCGUUGUCCGGAAUUUAUUGGGGCGUAAAAAGCUCGUAGGCGGUUUGUCCCGUCUGCUGUAA
Molecule: ribosomal RNA, 529 nt
Filed under: uncultured bacterium
Lineage: Bacteria
Description: bacterial SSU rRNA
Rfam family: Bacterial small subunit ribosomal RNA
Source: RNAcentral